GCGCCUGUAGCUCAGCUGGAUAGAGCAUCGGACUUCGAAUCCGACGGUCGCCCGUUCGAAUCGGGCCGGGCGCA
RNAcentral lists this transfer RNA (74 nucleotides) under Polyangiaceae bacterium. Its description in RNAcentral is "tRNA-Arg". It matches the Rfam family "tRNA". From Rfam's summary of the family: Transfer RNA (tRNA) molecules are approximately 80 nucleotides in length. Their secondary structure includes four short double-helical elements and three loops (D, anti-codon, and T loops). Further hydrogen bonds mediate the characteristic L-shaped molecular structure. tRNAs have two regions of fundamental functional importance: the anti-codon, which is responsible for specific mRNA codon recognition, and the 3' end, to which the tRNAs corresponding amino acid is attached (by aminoacyl-tRNA synthetases). tRNAs cope with the degeneracy of the genetic code in two manners: having more than one tRNA (with a specific anti-codon) for a particular amino acid; and 'wobble' base-pairing, i.e. permitting non-standard base-pairing at the 3rd anti-codon position. The record is from RNAcentral. Lineage: Bacteria; Pseudomonadati; Myxococcota; Polyangiales; Polyangiaceae.